RNAcentral lists this long non-coding RNA (1558 nucleotides) under Lactuca sativa (garden lettuce). Its description in RNAcentral is "long non-coding RNA (LSAT_LNC006850)". The record is from RNAcentral. Lineage: Eukaryota; Viridiplantae; Streptophyta; Magnoliopsida; Asterales; Asteraceae.
AGAGUGACCGCUUCCUUGUUCAUGUGGUAUGUCAUGCGGAAUUGAUCAUAACAUGAAGGUAAGGAGUGCAAAAUAAUAUCUAUUGCUAGCUCCUCGGGGAAGUUCACAUUAAGCUUCAGCAAGCGGUCCACAAAUCUUUGCAUUUUCUGCAUGUGGCCCGUGAUGGGUUCUCCAUCCUUCAUUUGGGUUGUUCUCAAGGAGGAGAUGAUUUCAUACCUCUCUUGUCGUGCACUUUGAUGGUAUCGUUCCAUCAAAUCUUGGUGCAUUUCAAAAGGGUAGUAGUCCUCGUAGGAAUUUUGGAGGUCGGCUGUCAUAGGGGCCAUCAUGAUGCAUGCCACCUUGGUGGCAUCCCUUUCAUGUGACCUAAAGUCAGCGAUCUCUUGAGGAGUAGCAAAUGUCUCAUCAAUCUCCUUAAGCUCCUUAUCGAGGACAUAUUCUUUGUCCUCGUAGCGGGUAAUCAUUCGGAUGUUUCUGAUCCAUUCAUUAAAGUUGGAUCCAUCAAAAGUGACUUUCCCACACAAGUUCAUAAGAGAAAAGGAGCCACUAGGAUUAGAGCCAGAAGCAGCAGUGUUUGCAGACAUCUAAAAAGAAGAAAAGUUUAGUUUAGAAAUAGAGAUAGUCCUUAAUAAAACACCCAAAUGUAGUAUUAAGGCUAGGACCCAAUCACAAUAUAUUAUACUUAGAAGAGGUAUGUCGUAAUCUAAGUAAUAACAUAUUUGAAAGGUAGGUGAAUGACGAUUCACCAAUUUCCACUAAAGCCGAAAUAUUAAAAAUAUUUAAUUUGGUUUUUGGAAACUCCUAGAUUCUUUUGAGAUUCAAUGAACUUUUCAAAAGCAUGUUUCAAUCUCGAGUGUGCCCUCUAGGUUUUGUGACUGGGUGGUCGAGGAUCACAAAACGAGGUGGGAAGUAACCAUGCAAAUUACUUGGUACCCUUAAUGUAUUACCCCUCAAUCGAUGUCCGAAAUAUUAAAAAUAUUUAAUUUGGUUUUUGGAAACUCCUAGAUUCUUUUGAGAUUCAAUGAACUUUUCAAAAGCAUGUUUCAAUCUCGAGUGUGCCCUCUAGGUUUUGUGACUGGGUGGUCGAGGAUCACAAAACGAGGUGGGAAGUAACCAUGCAAAUUACUUGGUACCCUUAAUGUAUUACCCCUCAAUCGAUGUGCCGGUUAACCACACACGCUCCAUUAACGACUUAGACAAAUUCUAAAGUGUAAUUUCAUAGAUUAGCACCUUAUUUACAUUUUUCCUAAAGUAACUAAGAUUGGGAAUUUAAUAAAACAUUUAGUUACUUUAUAAUAUUCAUCAUACUUUUAAUGAGAAUUUUUAAGUCCUUGUCUUACCCGUUCGGCUAACAACCCUCCACCAGUCAAGCAAGCGGUGGGUGAGAGUGGACACCCAUUAAGUUGCCAUUUUAUAGGCAACAACCUUAUACCCACCUUAUAGACCGGCUUCGUGAAUGAGGCGUACUAGCGGUAAGACUGACUUUACUCUUAUACAUAUAUAUAUUAUUAACUUAUAAUAUUAUAAAGUAUAAGGGUUGAAUUUUAACUUUUAAAAUUCU